AAUUAUUGAUAAAGAAGGAUUUCCAAUAUACAGAAGGCGAAGAACAGAUGACUUUGUUCAGAAGAAAGACUUUAAAUGCGAUAACCGUUAUGUCAUUCCUUAUAAUAGAUCCCUAUCAAUGAGAUACGGAGCUCACAUCAACGUGGAGUGGUGUAACCAUUCAGGUUCUGUGAAAUACAUAUUCA
RNAcentral lists this small RNA (185 nucleotides) under Arabidopsis thaliana (thale cress). RNAcentral describes it as "ATSL275500". The record is from RNAcentral. Lineage: Eukaryota; Viridiplantae; Streptophyta; Magnoliopsida; Brassicales; Brassicaceae.